UACGAGGGAUCCUAGCGUUGUUCGGAAUCAUUGGGCGUAAAGGGUGUGUAGGCGGCCAUGUAAGUCAGUUGUGAAAUCCCCGGGCUCAACCUGGGAACUGCAUCUGUGACUGCAUAGCUAGAGUACGGUAGAGGGGGAUGGAAUUCCGCGUGUAGCAGUGAAAUGCGUAGAUAUGCGGAGGAACACCGAUGGCGAAGGCAAUCCCCUGGACCUGUACUGACGCUCAUGCACGAAAGCGUGGGGAGCAAACAGG
This 253-nucleotide ribosomal RNA is filed under the name uncultured bacterium. RNAcentral describes it as "partial 16S ribosomal RNA". It matches the Rfam family "Bacterial small subunit ribosomal RNA", at positions 524 to 776 of the family's 1533-position model. The record is from RNAcentral.